UGAGGAACAUGACCUUCGGCGGGGGAUAGCCGGCCCAACGGCCGGGUAAUACCGCGUACGACCACAUGGGGACAUCCCUGAGUGGUGAAAGCAGCAAUGCGCCGAUGGAGUGCCUCGCGGCCUAUCAGCUAGUUGGUGAGGUAACGACUCACCAAGGCGACGAUGGGUAGCUGGUCUGAGAGGAUGGCCAGCCACAUUGGAACUGAGACACGGUCCAGAUCCUA
RNAcentral lists this ribosomal RNA (224 nucleotides) under uncultured bacterium. RNAcentral describes it as "partial 16S ribosomal RNA". It matches the Rfam family "Bacterial small subunit ribosomal RNA", at positions 118 to 340 of the family's 1533-position model. The record is from RNAcentral.